CCACAUGCAUCAGUAGUGGUGAUCAUCGAUCCACGAUCAGAUAAUGGGUUCUGAACUCAUCAGAUCAAACUAGCCGUUAGAUCUGAUUCAGGGCAUCGAUACGAUCGAUGCAAUCUUUUCUUUCUGAUCAGAUUUUUUUGUAUAAUAUUUUUAUGUCAUAGAUCUUUAGAUAGAUAGUUUAGAUCUAAUCUAAAGUAUGUGUAAAAGAUUAAAUAGUUUAAU
RNAcentral lists this long non-coding RNA (222 nucleotides) under Elaeis guineensis (African oil palm). RNAcentral's name for it is "long non-coding RNA (EGUI_LNC057903)". Lineage: Eukaryota; Viridiplantae; Streptophyta; Magnoliopsida; Arecales; Arecaceae. The record is from RNAcentral.